Molecule: ribosomal RNA, 256 nt
Filed under: uncultured bacterium
Lineage: Bacteria
Also listed under: 1 other name
Description: partial 16S ribosomal RNA
Rfam family: Bacterial small subunit ribosomal RNA
Source: RNAcentral
UAAUACGUAGGGUGCGAGCGUUAAUCGGAAUUACUGGGCGUAAAGCGUGCGCAGGCGGUUUGGCAAGUCAGAUGUGAAAUCCCCGAGCUCAACUUGGGAACUGCGUUUGAAACUGCCAGACUAGAAUAUGUCAGAGGGGGGUAGAAUUCCACGUGUAGCAGUGAAAUGCGUAGAGAUGUGGAGGAAUACCAAUGGCGAAGGCAGCCCCCUGGGAUAAUAUUGACGCUCAUGCACGAAAGCGUGGGGAGCAAACAGG